UACGGGGGGAGCAAGCGUUGUUCGGAUUUACUGGGCGUAAAGGGCGCGUAGGCGGUCACGACAAGUCAGUUGUGAAAGCCCAGGGCUUAACCCUGGAAUUGCCUUUAAGACUGCAUCGCUAGAAUCGUGGAGAGGUGAGUGGAAUUCCGAGUGUAGAGGUGAAAUUCGUAGAUAUUCGGAAGAACACCAGUGGCGAAGGCGACUCACUGGACACGUAUUGACGCUGAGGUGCGAAAGCGUGGGGAGCAAACAGG
This 254-nucleotide ribosomal RNA is filed under the name uncultured bacterium. RNAcentral describes it as "partial 16S ribosomal RNA". It matches the Rfam family "Bacterial small subunit ribosomal RNA", at positions 524 to 776 of the family's 1533-position model. The record is from RNAcentral.